CUACGGGUCGCAGCAGUGGGGAAUAUUGGGCAAUGGGCGCAAGCCUGACCCAGCAACGCCGCGUGAGGGAAGAAGGUUUUCGGAUUGUAAACCUCUGUCCUUGGGGACGAAGAAGUGACGGUACCCAAGGAGGAAGCUCCGGCUAACUACGUGCCAGCAGCCGCGGUAAUACGUAGGGAGCAAGCGUUGUCCGGAAUUACUGGGCGUAAAGGGUGCGUAGGCGGCAUAUUAAGUCAGGUGUGAAAUACUCGGGCUCAACCCGGGGCUGCAUUUGAAACUGAUAUGCUUGAGCGUGAGAGAGGAAAGUGGAAUUCCUAGUGUAGCGGUGGAAUGCGUAGAUAUUAGGAGGAACACCAGUGGCGAAGGCGACUUUCUGGCUCAUAACUGACGCUGAGGCACGAAAGCGUGGGGAGCAAACAGGAUUAGAUACCCGUGUAGUC
This 440-nucleotide ribosomal RNA is filed under the name uncultured bacterium. RNAcentral's name for it is "partial 16S ribosomal RNA". It matches the Rfam family "Bacterial small subunit ribosomal RNA", at positions 339 to 795 of the family's 1533-position model. The record is from RNAcentral.